CCUACGGGAGGCAGCAGUGAGGAAUAUUGGUCAAUGGGCGCGAGCCUGAACCAGCCAAGUAGCGUGAAGGAUGACUGCCCUACGGGUUGUAAACUUCUUUUAUAAAGGAAUAAAGUGAGGCACGUGUGCCUUUUUGUAUGUACUUUAUGAAUAAGGAUCGGCUAACUCCGUGCCAGCAGCCGCGGUAAUACGGAGGAUCCGAGCGUUAUCCGGAUUUAUUGGGGUUAAAGGGAGCGUAGAUGGGUUGUUAAGUCAGUUGUGAAAGUUUGCGGGUCAACCGUAAAAUUGCAAUUGAUACUGGCAGUCUUGAGUACAGUAGAGGGAGGCGGAAUUCGUGGUGUAGCGGUGAAAUGCGUAGAUAUCACGAAGAACACCGAUUGCGAAGGCAGCUUACUAAACAGCCACUGACAUUGAUGCGCGAAAGUGUGGGUAGCAAACAGGAUUAGAUACCCUGGUAGUC
RNAcentral lists this ribosomal RNA (460 nucleotides) under uncultured bacterium. RNAcentral's name for it is "partial 16S ribosomal RNA". It matches the Rfam family "Bacterial small subunit ribosomal RNA", at positions 338 to 795 of the family's 1533-position model. The record is from RNAcentral.